GGAUCUCUGUGGCGAUCUUCAGCUGAGUUCUUCUCUUUCCAGAGACCUUCUUGGCAGGCGCUGAUGUUGGGAGAGGUCUUUUGCCUGCAAAUUUAGUUUGUUUUAUGAAUGGGGAGAAUGUGGU
Amblyraja radiata (thorny skate) is the source of this 124-nucleotide long non-coding RNA. RefSeq lists it as uncharacterized. The record is from RefSeq and is a predicted model, not a curated record. The transcript is spliced from 3 exons. Lineage: Eukaryota; Metazoa; Chordata; Chondrichthyes; Rajiformes; Rajidae.